GCUGGGCAUGGUGGUGCAUGCCUGUAGUCCCAGUUGCUUGGGAGGCUGAGGCAGGAGGAUCACUUCAGCUCAGGAGGUCAAGGCUGCAGUGAGCACUGAUUGUGCCACUGCACUCUAGCCUGGACAACAGAUGGAGACCUCGUCUCAA
Unclassified non-coding RNA from Macaca fascicularis (crab-eating macaque), 148 nucleotides. It matches the Rfam family "Metazoan signal recognition particle RNA". Rfam says of the family: The signal recognition particle (SRP) is a universally conserved ribonucleoprotein. It is involved in the co-translational targeting of proteins to membranes. Lineage: Eukaryota; Metazoa; Chordata; Mammalia; Primates; Cercopithecidae. The record is from Ensembl.